GUUUGAAAUGCAGGGAAGCCCAGAAGCUGUGCAGGUGGGUGCAGGGCAGAGGACAGCUGCCUCCUUCAGCACCACUCCUGCACACCCUGAUCUGCCUGCAGCUCCACGGGGAGAAGCACUGCCCAGAGACCAAAAGCCUUGGGAGCCUUCUGGUGUAGCCAGGAACACCCAGAUGGCAAAAGGACAGCAAGGGAAACAUGCUGAUGUGUCAGAGCUGGGCCCUCCCUGGGUAACUGAGUACUUUCCCAUCAGGAGCUGCCACCGCAUCCUCCGGGAUGGCUCUGGCCUGUUCCACCUCCCGCUGCACGUGGACAUUAAAGCCAACAUCUGGUGCAACUGGACCAUCUGGGCAGGCCCUCAGAAGCACAUUGUUAUCUAUGUCCAAGGGUUCCAGGGGAGUGAUGGCUGUGGCAACAACCAGGACAGGAUCAUCUUCCAGGGGGUCUCGUCAAGCGUGGAAACCAAAGUGGUGUUUGCCUGCCACAACCGAGGCACGCUGGUCUUUGCUGCACAAGCCACUGAGGUGCAGGUGUUGUUUCUGUCAGGGAGCGGUUCCAGAAGCCAUGAAUACAGGUAUUUUAGAGGACAGUACUAUGUAUUCAGAGACUAUGAAACUGUGGGCUCUUCAAGUGAUACCAAAGCAGCUCCCCAGGAGCCUGCCCAGGAGACCUCUAAAAAUGAGAGCUGGAGGACAGUGGAGACCAAAGGUUUGCUGUCCAUGCUGACAGCUCCUCCAGGCCCACCAGCUGCACCUGCUGGUGGCAGGAUCCCGCCUGGUGUUGUGAGCCCAGAAGAGGUGGGCCAACAUUCUCCUGAUCUCAUGGAAGAUGGCCAGUCUGGUGCCAACCAGAGUGAGCGUGGUCAGGAUGAAACCAGGCUGGAAAAGAACCUUAAGGACAGAGGCAGCAAGGGCAGAGAAACUGAACGUGACAUGUUGGUGAAACCAGCUCCAGGGCAGGACACUGGGGGCAAAGCUGAGCCACCUGCCUUGGAGCUGUCCCCUGGAACAGCUCUGGUCACCAUGGUCCCAUGUCACCCAGCUGGCUCUCCUUGCUCAGAGAAGCCCAGCAGCAGUGUAGGUGUCUCUGCCAGUGGCAGCCCCUCAGAAGUGCCAGCUGCUGCACAUCACACACAGACACCAGAGCUGGCAGAGCCACCGCUGAGCACCAGCACAAAACCACCUCUCUACCCCUCUCCUGGUGUGACUGCUGCUGAUGUGGUGCCUCUGGGAGGAAGGAC
Molecule: long non-coding RNA, 1239 nt
Filed under: Junco hyemalis (dark-eyed junco)
Lineage: Eukaryota; Metazoa; Chordata; Aves; Passeriformes; Passerellidae
Description: lncRNA (ENSJHYG00000001780.1)
Source: RNAcentral